CUGUUGGGUAAGGGCCACAUUAAUGGUUUUAUAUUAUAUUCUAACACGCCCCCUCACGCAAGAGCUCUUUGGGCUUGAAGCGUGGAUAAUUGCACAGGCCCACCUACCAUGUGCUUAAUUAAAUUCCACUUUUUAAUUAGAAAGUGAGGGGAGCAAGGAUCGAACUCUAGACCUCUCGGCCAUAGAGGCUCUGAUACCAUGUCAAAUAACCACUUUAUCCCAAAAGCUUAAGCUGUUGGGUAAGGGCCAUAUGAAUGGUUUUAUAUUAUAUUCUAACACGCCCCCUCACGCAAGAGUCUUUUGGGCUUGAAGCGUGGAUAAAUGCGCAGGCCCACCUACCAUGUGCUUAAUUAAAUUCCACUUUUAAUUAGAAAGUGAGGGGAGCAAGGAUCGAACUCUAGACCUCUCGGCCAUAGAGGCUCUGAUACCAUGUCAAAUAACCACUUUAUCCCAAAAGCUUAAGCUUUUGGGU
This 472-nucleotide long non-coding RNA is filed under the name Lotus japonicus. RNAcentral's name for it is "long non-coding RNA (LJAP_LNC001296)". Lineage: Eukaryota; Viridiplantae; Streptophyta; Magnoliopsida; Fabales; Fabaceae. The record is from RNAcentral.